AUUGAACGCUGGCGGCAGGCCUAACACAUGCAAGUCGAGCGGGGACUUCGGUCUUAGCGGCGAACGGGUGAGUAAUGCUUGGGAAUCUGCCCAGUAGUGGGGGAGAACGUCCCGAAAGGGACGCUAAUACCGCCUACGACCUACGGGAGAAAGAGGGGGAUCUUCGGACCUCUCGCUAUUGGAUGAGCCCAAGUCGGAUUAGCUAGUUGGUAGGGUAAUGGCCUACCAAGGCGACGAUCCGUAGCUGGUCUGAGAGGAUGAUCAGCCACACUGGAACUGAGACACGGUCCAGACUCCUACGGGAGGCAGCAGUGGGGAAUAUUGGACAAUGGGCGAAAGCCUGAUCCAGCCAUGCCGCGUGUGUGAAGAAGGCCUUCGGGUUGUAAAGCACUUUAAGCGGGGAGGAAGGUCCGCGGCCUAAUACGUCGCGGAAUUGACGUUACCCGCAGAAUAAGCACCGGCUAACUCCGUG
This 472-nucleotide ribosomal RNA is filed under the name uncultured bacterium. RNAcentral describes it as "partial 16S ribosomal RNA". It matches the Rfam family "Bacterial small subunit ribosomal RNA", at positions 30 to 507 of the family's 1533-position model. The record is from RNAcentral.